RNAcentral lists this small nucleolar RNA (107 nucleotides) under Jatropha curcas. RNAcentral describes it as "Plant small nucleolar RNA R71". It matches the Rfam family "Plant small nucleolar RNA R71". From Rfam's summary of the family: R71 is a member of the C/D box family of snoRNAs containing the C (UGAUGA) and D (CUGA) box motifs. Multiple nearly identical copies of this snoRNA have been identified in Arabidopsis, and it is thought to function as a 2'-O-ribose methylation guide for 18S ribosomal RNA. Lineage: Eukaryota; Viridiplantae; Streptophyta; Magnoliopsida; Malpighiales; Euphorbiaceae. The record is from Rfam by way of RNAcentral.
AAGCUGUGAUGUGGGCACUUUCUUAAUAAGUCUUUGAAUCUCUCCCAAGCUUCGCACAAACUCUCUUGAUCAUGGUGGAUAAAAGUCAUUAUCUCAUUGCACAGUUU